AUGAACGCUGGCGGCGUGCCUAAUACAUGCAAGUCGAGCGAACAGACGAGGAGCUUGCUCCUCUGACGUUAGCGGCGGACGGGAGAGUAACACGUGGAUAACCUACCUAUAAGACUGGGAUAACUUCGGGAAACCGGAGCUAAUACCGGAUAAUAUAUUGAACCGCAUGGUUCAAUAGUGAAAGACGGCUUUGCUGUCACUUAUAGAUGGAUCCGCGCCGCAUUAGCUAGUUGGUAAGGUAACGGCUUACCAAGGCGACGAUGCGUAGCCGACCUGAGAGGGUGAUCGGCCACACUGGAACUGAGACACGGUCCAGACUCCUACGGGAGGCAGCAGUAGGGAAUCUUCCGCAAAGGGCGAAAGCCUGACGGAGCAACGCCGCGUGAGUGAUGAAGGUCUUCGGAUCGUAAAACUCUGUUAUUAGGGAAGAACAAAUGUGUAAGUAACUAUGCACGUCUUGACGGUACCUAAUCAGAAAGCCACGGCUAACUACGUG
RNAcentral lists this ribosomal RNA (496 nucleotides) under uncultured bacterium. RNAcentral describes it as "partial 16S ribosomal RNA". It matches the Rfam family "Bacterial small subunit ribosomal RNA", at positions 29 to 507 of the family's 1533-position model. The record is from RNAcentral.